UAGCUGACUUGCUGUCGGGAGGCGAAGCCCGGUUGGAGGUGGGGCCAUGGCCUGGAAAAGGUAUUCUUGUUCCAGAUCCUCCCUUCACUGUCUGCUGCUUGGCUGCCAAGGGAUGAGCAGCUCUCCUCCACCCACAUCCUUCCACCAUGCACUUCCUGCCUUGGAGACAGCCAAUUAUGGACUGAAUCCUCUAAACCCAGGUUUAUAGAAAUGCAACAACUUAAAGACCUAGAAGAAAUGAGUAUUUCAGCUGGU
Molecule: long non-coding RNA, 255 nt
Filed under: Heterocephalus glaber (naked mole-rat)
Lineage: Eukaryota; Metazoa; Chordata; Mammalia; Rodentia; Bathyergidae
Description: lncRNA (ENSHGLG00100041341.1)
Source: RNAcentral